RNAcentral lists this ribosomal RNA (253 nucleotides) under uncultured bacterium. RNAcentral describes it as "partial 16S ribosomal RNA". It matches the Rfam family "Bacterial small subunit ribosomal RNA", at positions 524 to 776 of the family's 1533-position model. The record is from RNAcentral.
UACGUAGGGUCCAAGCGUUGUCCGGAGUUACUGGGCGUAAAGUGCGCGCAGGCGGCGGUGCGGGCCCGGCGUGAAAGCCCCCGGCUCAACCGGGGAGGGUCGUCGGGGACCGCACCGCUUGAGGGCGGUAGGGGCUGGUGGAAUGCCUGGUGUAGUGGUGAAAUGCGUAGAGAUCAGGCGGAACACCCGUGGCGAAGGCGGCCAGCUGGGCCGUCCCUGACGCUGAGGCGCGAAGGCGUGGGGAGCGAACGGG